CGCUGGCGGCGUGCUUAACACAUGCAAGUCGAACGGAAAGGCCCUGCUUUUGUGGGGUGCUCGAGUGGCGAACGGGUGAGUAACACGUGAGUAACCUGCCCUUGACUUUGGGAUAACUUCAGGAAACUGGGGCUAAUACCGGAUAGGAGCUCCUGCUGCAUGGUGGGGGUUGGAAAGUUUCGGCGGUUGGGGAUGGACUCGCGGCUUAUCAGCUUGUUGGUGGGGUAGUGGCUUACCAAGGCUUUGACGGGUAGCCGGCCUGAGAGGGUGACCGGCCACAUUGGGACUGAGAUACGGCCCAGACUCCUACGGGAGGCAGCAGUGGGGAAUAUUGCACAAUGGGCGGAAGCCUGAUGCAGCAACGCCGCGUGCGGGAUGACGGCCUUCGGGUUGUAAACCGCUUUCGCCUGUGACGAAGCGUGAGUGACGGUAAUGGGUAAAGAAGCACCGGCUAACUACGUGCCAGCAGCCGCGGUGAUACGUAGGGUGCGAGCGUUGUCCGGAUUUAUUGGGCGUAAAGGGCUCGUAGGUGGUUGAUCGCGUCGGAAGUGUAAUCUUGGGGCUUAACCCUGAGCGUGCUUUCGAUACGGGUUGACUUGAGGAAGGUAGGGGAGAAUGGAAUUCCUGGUGGAGCGGUGGAAUGCGCAGAUAUCAGGAGGAACACCAGUGGCGAAGGCGGUUCUCUGGGGCCUUUCCUGACGCUGAGGAGCGAAAGCGUGGGGAGCGAACAGGCUUAGAUACCCUGGUAGUCCACGCUGUAAACGGUGGGUACUAGGUGUGGGGUCCAUUCCACGGGUUCCGUGCCGUAGCUAACGCUUUAAGUACCCCGCCUGGGGAGUACGGCCGCAAGGCUAAAACUCAAAGGAAUUGACGGGGCCCCGCACAAGCGGCGGAGCAUGCGGAUUAAUUCGAUGCAACGCGUAGAACCUUACCUGGGUUUGACAUGGAUCGGGAGUGCUCAGAGAUGGGUGUGCCUCUUUUGGGGUCGGUUCACAGGUGGUGCAUGGCUGUCGUCAGCUCGUGUCGUGAGAUGUUGGGUUAAGUCCCGCAACGAGCGCAACCCUUGUUCACUGUUGCCAGCACGUUAUGGUGGGGACUCAGUGGAGACCGCCGGGGUCAACUCGGAGGAAGGUGGGGAUGACGUCAAGUCAUCAUGCCCCUUAUGUCCAGGGCUUCACGCAUGCUACAAUGGCUGGUACAGAGAGUGGCGAGCCUGUGAGGGUGAGCGAAUCUCGGAAAGCCGGUCUCAGUUCGGAUUGGGGUCUGCAACUCGACCUCAUGAAGUCGGAGUCGCUAGUAAUCGCAGAUCAGCAACGCUGCGGUGAAUACGUUCCCGGGGCUUGUACACACCGCCCGUCAAGUCAUGAAAGUUGGUAACACCCGAAGCCGGUGGCCUAACCGUUGUGGGGGAGCCGUCGAAGGUGGGACUGGUGAUUAGGA
RNAcentral lists this ribosomal RNA (1440 nucleotides) under uncultured organism. Its description in RNAcentral is "partial small subunit ribosomal RNA". It matches the Rfam family "Bacterial small subunit ribosomal RNA". The record is from RNAcentral.